Molecule: ribosomal RNA, 450 nt
Filed under: uncultured bacterium
Lineage: Bacteria
Description: partial 16S ribosomal RNA
Rfam family: Bacterial small subunit ribosomal RNA
Source: RNAcentral
AACGAACGCUGGCGGCAGGCCUAACACAUGCAAGUCGAACGGAUGUAGCAAUACAUUAGUGGCGCACGGGAGAGUAACACGUGGGAAUCUACCUUUUGGUUCGGAAUAACGUCGGGAAACUGACGCUAAUACCGGAUAAGCCCUACGGGGGAAAGUUUUUCGCCAAAAGAUGAGCCCGCGCUAGAUUAGCUUGUUGGUGAGGUAAUGGCUCACCAAGGCUACGAUCUAUAGCUGGUCUGAGAGGAUGACCAGCCUCACUGGGACUGAGACACGGCCCAGACUCCUACGGGGGGCAGCAGUGGGGAAUAUUGGACAAUGGGGGAAACCCUGAUCCAGCCAUGCCGCGUGAAUGAUGAAGGCCUUCGGGUUGUAAAGUUCUUUUGGUAGGGACGAUGAUGACGGUACCUACAGAAUAAGCUCCGGCUAACUUCGUGCCAGCAGCCGCAGUAA